AGCUUGCACAGUGGCAGUAUCGUAGCCAGUGAGGUUUAUCACGGCACAAUUAUUGCUGAUUGAAAACUUUUUCCUAUACAU
Molecule: small nuclear RNA, 81 nt
Filed under: Pteropus vampyrus (large flying fox)
Lineage: Eukaryota; Metazoa; Chordata; Mammalia; Chiroptera; Pteropodidae
Description: U4 spliceosomal RNA (ENSPVAG00000030329.1)
Rfam family: U4 spliceosomal RNA
About the family: U4 small nuclear RNA (U4 snRNA) is a component of the major U2-dependent spliceosome.
Source: RNAcentral